GAAAAGAAGAAGACUGGUUGCAAUGACCAGGAGGUGCUACCGUGCUGGCUCAUGAGCUGGGUCACUGGAAACUGAGCCACAACCUCAAAAAUCUUGUCAUCAGUCAGGUGAACUUGUUCCUGUGCCUGUUUCUCUUCGGCCUCCUGAUCGAGAGAAAGGAACUGUUUGAGGCGUUUGGUUUCUAUGAUGUCCAACCCACUCUCAUAGGCCUCGUCAUCAUCUUUCAGUUAGUGUUCUCGCCCUACAACGAGGUGCAUCCAGAGUUUUUGAAAACAAAUCCUCCAUUAUUUUGUUCCCCUUUCCAACAUGAUUUAUGCCAUUUCCAGCCAAAAUAAUUUAUAAGGCUUGGCUUGUAAUUUCCGCUAAGAAUUCAAAGAAUUAUGACCUUUUUUUCCACAAGUACUUAAUUUCCUUCUGCAUGACGGUGCUGUGUCGUCGGUCAGAGUUCCAGGCCGACGCUUUCGCCAAGUCGCUGCGCCGCGCCACGGAGCUGCGGUCGGCGCUGAUCAAACUCCACAAGGACAAUCUCGGCUUCCCAUUGGCCGAUUGGCUGUACUCCACCUGGCACUACUCUCACCCUCCCCUCCUAGAGAGGCUCGCUGCCCUGGGAGAGAAAUUGGACUGAAAUCGAUGGUCUUCUUUUGGGUUGUGGACUGAGCACCUCUACGCACACCUGUAAGCACAGACGAUUUUCUGAGCUUGUGUUUUUUUAAAUGUGCCAUUCAAAACU
Molecule: long non-coding RNA, 730 nt
Organism: Patiria miniata (bat star)
Lineage: Eukaryota; Metazoa; Echinodermata; Asteroidea; Valvatida; Asterinidae
Exons: 2
Source: RefSeq, a predicted model, not a curated record